This 1954-nucleotide ribosomal RNA is filed under the name Gammarus wilkitzkii. RNAcentral describes it as "partial 18S ribosomal RNA". It matches the Rfam family "Eukaryotic small subunit ribosomal RNA", at positions 174 to 1738 of the family's 1831-position model. The record is from RNAcentral. Lineage: Eukaryota; Metazoa; Arthropoda; Malacostraca; Amphipoda; Gammaridae.
AUAUCCCGAAGGCGUGGCUGUGCUUGCUUGUCUUGCGCUUUCAUUGCUCUGACGGAUGCUUUUAUUAGACCAAGCCGCUGAGGACUUGGGGGUUCGCUCUCUUGUUCGACUCGUGUUAUGGUGACUCUGGAUAACCAAUUCUGACAAGCGCACGUACUUCUCUUCUGAGCGAGACGGCGCUGCCACUUUCGAGUGUCUGCCUUAUCAGCUAUCAACCGUUCGUUAUGCGCGACCGAUGGCUUUGACGGGUAACGGGGAAUCAGGGUUCGAUUCCGGAGAGGCAGCCUGAGAGACGGCUACCACGUCCAAGGACGGCAGCAGGCACGCAAAUUACCCAAUCCCAGCAAAUGGGGGAGGUAGUGACGAAAUCUAACGAUGCGGGCGCCCUUUCUGGGGCCCCGCAAUCGGAAUGGGCACUUUCUAAACAACCUGUUGAGAACCUACUGAAGGGCAAGUCUGGUGCCAGCAGCCGCGGUAAUUCCAGCUUCAGCAGCAUCUAUUAAAGUUGCUGCGGUUAAAAGGCUCGCAGUUGAAUGUCUGUAUCGAGCGCAGGUCAGGUGGACGUUGGGGCGUGGAAGUACGGGCUGUUGGAUGUUCGGAGGGCUUCGUGCUCGACGGCUCCUUCGGCUUUUCCACACACCCCCGUCCGUAACAAGCCUCCUCGCUCGGGUACAUAACGGGAAUCGGUCAAACGGAGUGUGGUCUUGCUUUUGGAGGUUAACGCUUUCAGGAGUGUGGCUACGUUAAGCUCCAUCGGUUUCACGGUCACCUUGAGUAAAUCAGAGUGCUCAAAGCAGUCGUAGGGGCCUUGCGCCCUGUGAACAGUCUUGACGGACUGACUUGGUUUUGCAUGGCAUGUCGGAAGACGACGUCGUGUGCUGGCUCAGAGGAUAAAUCAGUGGUACAAGCCAGCCUCGACGUAAUGAUUAAAAGGGACGGUCGAGGGCAUUGGUAUUGCGAGGCGAGAGGUGAAAUUCUGUGACCCCCGCAAGACCUCCUGAAGCGAAAGCGUCUGCCAAGGACGUUUUCAUUAAUCAUGAACGAAAGUUAGAGGAUCGAAGGCGAUCAGAUACCGCCCUAGUUCUAACCCUAAACGAUGCCAACCAUCAAUCCGCGCGUAGCACCCUUCUUAACGGGCUCGGCGGGCAGCUCCCCACUCACGGGAAACCAGAGCCUCUGGGUUCCGGGGGGAGUCUGGUUGCAAAGCUGAAACUUAAAGGAAUUGACGGAAAGGCACCACCAGGCGUGGAGCCUGCGGCUUAAUUUGACUCAACACGGGCCAUCUCACCAGGCCAGCACUCUUGUACGAUUGACAGAUUGAGAGCUCUUUCUCGAUUCAGUGGAUGGUGGUGCAUGGCCGUUCUUAGUUGGUGGAGUGAUCUGUCUGGUUAAUUCCGAUAACGAACGAGACUCUCCCCUGCUAACUAGUCGGUUGGAUCUUGAUCAGCGGGUUGCGUGCUGAGUAACUCUCGCUGCGUGUGAUGUGCGUUUCGUGCUUAACGGUGCGUUGCGUCUUGCGCGUAGUGUUGGAUGCCUUGGAUCACACUGCACCCCAAGUCCGCCGCUUAUGCUAUAACUCUUCUUAGAGGGAUUCACGGCACUGAAGCCGUAAGAGACUGAGAGCAAUAACAGGUCUGUGAUGCCCUUAGAUGCUCUGGGCCGCACGCGCGCUACAAUGCCGGGCACAGCAGGUGUUUCUCCUGCUCCGACAGGAGCGGGUAACCCUCUGAAAGCCAGUGUUCUUGCAAGUACUUCCUCCCUCGUGGAGUUGUACAAAGGCGUGCUUGGGCCUGGGACUUGCAAUUCUUUCCCACCAACGAGGAAUGCCUAGUAGCGGCGGGUCACUGAGCCCGCUGUGACUCAGUCCCUGCCCUUUGUACACACCGCCCGUCGCUACUACCGAUUGGGUGUACCAGUGAGAGCCUUGGACUGGCGUCCGUUGUUAUUCGCAAGA